Molecule: ribosomal RNA, 253 nt
Filed under: uncultured bacterium
Lineage: Bacteria
Description: partial 16S ribosomal RNA
Rfam family: Bacterial small subunit ribosomal RNA
Source: RNAcentral
UACGAAGGGGGCGAGCGUUAUUCGGAAUGAUUGGGUGUAAAGGGCGUGUAGGCGGUAAUGUAAGUUUUUUGUUUAAUUCUUUGGCCUAACCAAAGGUAUGCAGAAAAUACUAUUUUACUAGAGUAUAAUAGAGGAAGAUGGAAUUCUCGGAGUAGCGGUUAAAUGCGUAGAUCUCGAGAGGAACGCUAAUGGCGAAGGCAGUCUUCUGGGUUAUAACUGACGCUGAGGCGCGAAGGCAUGGGUAGCGAACGGG